This 29-nucleotide non-coding RNA is filed under the name Cricetulus griseus (Chinese hamster). Lineage: Eukaryota; Metazoa; Chordata; Mammalia; Rodentia; Cricetidae. The record is from RNAcentral.
GUAUGCAAUUAUGGGACUAGAAGGUUUUG